UACGUAGGGUGCAGGCGUUAAUCGGAAUUACUGGGCGUAAAGCGUGCGCAGGCGGUUUCUUAAGCCAGAUGUGAAAUCCCCGGGCUCAACCUGGGAAUGGCAUUUGGGACUGCAAGGCUUGAGUGCGGCAGAGGAGACUGGAAUUCCUGGUGUAGCAGUGAAAUGCGUAGAUAUCAGGAGGAAUACCGAUGGCGAAGGCAGGUCUCUGGGCUGACACUGACGCUCAUGCACGAAAGCGUGGGGAGCAAACAGG
This 253-nucleotide ribosomal RNA is filed under the name uncultured bacterium. Its description in RNAcentral is "partial 16S ribosomal RNA". It matches the Rfam family "Bacterial small subunit ribosomal RNA", at positions 524 to 776 of the family's 1533-position model. The record is from RNAcentral.